RNAcentral lists this ribosomal RNA (499 nucleotides) under uncultured bacterium. Its description in RNAcentral is "bacterial SSU rRNA". It matches the Rfam family "Bacterial small subunit ribosomal RNA", at positions 8 to 518 of the family's 1533-position model. The record is from RNAcentral.
AGAGUUUGAUCCUGGCUUAGAACGAACGCUGGUGGCGUGUCUUAUACAUGCAAGUCGAGCGAGGCAGCAAUGCCGAGCGGCGAACGGGUGAGUAACGCGUAAGCAAUCUGCCCCAUAUCAGGAAAUACCCGUGCCAACGCGCGGUUAAUGUCCAGGAGAGUGGCCUUCCGCAUGGAGGGUUGACUAGAGAUUUAUCGGUAUGGGAUGAGCUUGCGUCCGAUUAGCUAGUUGGCGGGGCAACGGCCCACCAAGGCGACGAUCGGUAGCCGGCCUGAGAGGGUGAUCGGCCACAUUGGGACUGAGAUACGGCCCAGACUCCUACGGGAGGCAGCAGUAGGGAAUAUUGCACAAUGGGGGAGACCCUGAUGCAGCAACGCCACGUGUGGGGAAGAAGCAUUUCGGUGUGUAAACCACUGUCAUGAGGGAAUAAGGCCCUUAUUCGUAAGGGAUUGAAUGUACCUUGAGAGGAAGCACCGGCAAACUUCGUGCCAGCAGCCGC